This 349-nucleotide ribosomal RNA is filed under the name uncultured bacterium. Its description in RNAcentral is "bacterial SSU rRNA". It matches the Rfam family "Bacterial small subunit ribosomal RNA", at positions 917 to 1267 of the family's 1533-position model. The record is from RNAcentral.
GGGCCCGCACAAGCGGUGGAGCAUGUGGUUUAAUUCGAUGAUACGCGAGGAACCUUACCAGGGCUUAAAUGUAGAACGACCGAUUGGAAACAAGUCCUCUCUUUGAGCGGUCUACAAGGUGCUGCAUGGUUGUCGUCAGCUCGUGCCGUGAGGUGUCGGGUUAAGUCCCUUAACGAGCGCAACCCCUAUCUCUAGUUGCCAGCGGAUAAUGCCGGGGACUCUAGAGAAACUGCCCGCGCAAGCGGUGAGGAAGGCGGGGAUGACGUCAAAUCAUCACGGCCCUUACGUCCUGGGCUACACACGUGCUACAAUGGUCGGUACAAAGGGGCAGCUACCACGUAAGUGGAUG